This 501-nucleotide ribosomal RNA is filed under the name uncultured bacterium. Its description in RNAcentral is "bacterial SSU rRNA". It matches the Rfam family "Bacterial small subunit ribosomal RNA", at positions 899 to 1397 of the family's 1533-position model. The record is from RNAcentral.
ACUCAAAUGAAUUGACGGGAGCCCGCACAAGCAGUGGAGUAUGUUGUUUAAUUCGACGCAACGCGAAGAACCUUACCAGACCUUGACAUCCUAUGAAGACGGCGUAAUGGCUGUCGUGCCCUUCGGGGAGCAUAGAGACAGGUAGUGCAUGGUUGUCGUCAGCUCGUGUCGUGAGAUGUUGGGUUAAGUCCCGCAACGAGCGCAACCCUUGCGGAUAGUUGCCAGCGCGGAAACGCGAGGCACUCUAUUCGGACUGCCGUUGACAAAACGGAGGAAGGUGGGGAUGAUGUCAAAUCAUCAUGCUCCUUAUGGUCUGGGCUACAAACGUACUACAAUGGCGUGAACAGAGGGAUGCGAAGGCGCGAGCCGGAGCGGAACCCGAAAACACGUCCCAGUUCGAAUUGCAGGCUGCAACUCGCCUGCAUGAAGUUGGAAUUGCUAGUAAUCGCGGGUCAGCAUACCGCGGUGAAUACGUUCCCGGGCUUUGCACACACCGCCCGU